GGAUCAUUAAGGCCACGCCCAUAUUCUGAGUUCCAGUGGGACCCUGAUUACACCUCCUCUGGCUCAGUCACACAGCUGCCUGGUAUGUGACUGGAGGUAUUUUGCAGUCAUUGCUGGGAUUUCACUGAUGUGGCCCCAACACUGCCUCCCUCCCCACCCCGCGAUGUCAGAAGAAACUCGACAGUAAAUUGGCCAUGGCCAAGAAAAAGUUAAAAGAAUAUCAGCAGAGGAACAGCCCUGGUGUUCCAGCAGGAGUGAUGAGGAAAACGAAAAAAAUCACAGUAGCUCUGAGACAACCACUUCUGGUGGUUGCCACUCACCUGGGGAUAUUCAGGACACUCUGAAGGUGCUGGUGUCCAAAAUUAACCAUUCCAAAGGGGGAGUGCUCUCCCAUUGGACAAAUGGAAGAGCCAGUACCAAGAACUAGCAGUAGCCCUGGACUCAAGCUCCACAACAGUCAGUCAACUCAAUGAAAACACUGAGUCAUUGCUAAGAGUCCAGUGGGGUCCCCUGAUUCCAUGCUGCCAAUCCUGGGCUUCAGUUUCCCUUUGGGGCCCUGAAGAAAGGGUCUGGGGGCCUCUGGUGCCAAGGGUAAAUGGGGAGCUGGGGUGCCCAGGCCUCACCUGGAGGGACCCCAGAGCAUGGAGCAUGCAGCAUGGCUCUUCUGUUGCUGCCCUCUUUGCUGCAGGCCUGGGAUCCCCAGAUCGAAACUUCUCACUCUUUACCAUCCAGUCCUCCAGCCACUGUGAAGCAGUCCUUGAGUGGCAGUUACAGCAGUCCAUAAAGGCUGGGACACAGCUGGAAGCACAUGUGACACAGCUAGAGGGAGAUGAAUAUGCUCAAAAUCUAAAAGGAGAGAGGGCCCGGUGGCAGCAGAGGGUGUGGAAAAUGUCAGAGGAGGUUCACACAGAAGAGAGCUGAAGGAGAAGAAGCAUGACACGCAUUGGCUACAGGAGCUGGAGAGGAGCUUGGCUGAACUCAAAAACUAGAUGGCUGAACCCCUGCCCCCGGAGCCCCCAGUAGGGCCCUCUGAGGUGGAACAGCAGCUACAAGCUGAGGCCGAGCCCCUGAGGAAGGAGCUGGAGAGUCUGGCAGGACAGCUCCAAGCUCAGGUGCAAAACAAUCAAGGCUUGAGUCACCUGAACUGGGAGCAGGAGAGGCUGCUGGAGCUGGGGUGGAAGGCCAAGCUCUGGGAGGAGCAGGCAGAGACGCGCAUGCAGACCCUGCAGAACCGUGCCACCAUCAACCGCGCGCUCUCUCAGAACCACGAGUUCAACUAGCAGCUGGCUGGGCCACAGAGCGGCUUAGAGGAGCUGAACAACGAGAAUAAGAGUGCACUGCAGUUGCAGCAGCAAGUAAAGGAGCUGCAGGAGAAGCUGGGCAAGCUGAAGGAGACCGUGGAGCUGAAAAGCCAAGAGGCUCAGAGUCUGCAGCAGCAGGGAGACCAGUCCCUGGGUCACCUGCAGCAGUACGUGCCUGCCUAUCAGCAGCUGACCUCUGAGAAGGAGGCGCAGCACAGGCAGUUACUGCUGCAGACCCAGCUCAUAGACCAGCUGCAGCAGCAGGAAGCUAGUGGCAAAGCGGUGGCCGAGAUGGCCCACCAAAAGUUUCAGGAGACCCAGGGGAGGCUGGAAGGUACCAGCCAGCAGAACCAGCAGCUACAGGCCCAGUUGAGCCUCAUGGCACUCCCUAGGCAAGGUACAGGAGAUCUCUCAGAGGAGGAAGAGAGAGAUCUGGACAACGAGGAAGAGGAGGCACCUUGGCCCAUGCCGAGCAUCCCGGAGGACCUGGAGAGCAGGGAGGUAAUGGUGGCAUUUUUCAACUCCGCUGGAGCCAGUGCCCAGGAGGAGCAGGCAUGGCUAUGUGGGCAGCUGAAGGAGCAAAGGGUGUGAUGCCAGCGCCUGACUCACCCGCGUGGCCUUGGCCCAGAAGGAGCCAGAGGUAGUGGAACCAGCCUUAGGGACUGGGGGUGAGUCUGUGUGUGGGUAGACCCAUCGGGCCCUGCAGGGGCCCAUGGAGAAGUUGCAGAGUGGCUUUAUGGACCUCCUGAAGGAGAAGGUGGACCUGAAGGACCGGGAGGAGAAACUAGAGCUUCGAUCCAUCCACUUCUCAGGAGAGACAGACACCAUCGGAAAGUACAUCACAACGUAUGAGAGCCAGAGGGCAGCGCCAAAGACGCGGCACCAGGAGGAGGACAUCAUCAGGCUGGCCCAGGACAAAGAGGAGAUGAAGGUGAAACUGCUGGAGCUGCAGAAGCUGGUGUUGCGGCUUGCAGGUGAUCACAACGAGGGGCAUGGCAAAUUCCUGGCCACUGCCCAGAACCCUGCUCAUGAUCCUGCUUCAAGGGCCCCAGUCCCUCAGGAGCUUGGGGCUGCUGACAAGCAGGGUGAUUUUUGUGAGGUGAGCCGACAGCCUGGAGCCUGCACCAGGAGAGGCCGGGGGCGGGGGCGUUGUCCCCAUGACAACCCCACUGCACAGCAGCUCAUGCAGCUGCUUCCUGAGAUGCAGGACCCCCAGGAAUAUCCAGGCUUGGGCAGCAGCCCCUGCAUGCCAUUCUUCUACCAGGCUGCCAAGAACAGGGAGCUAAACAUCACCAUCAUCUAAGAGCUGGUCAAGAAAUUAAAAAAGAAGAAAAAAAGGUUACAGGGUUAAUCUCCUACACAAUUCGUUUACUUCAUUUGAAUGUUAGAGUCACUCAUGAUUAUUUGUGUUUCUAAUUUGUAGUUUACAUUUAUUCGUAAAAAGUUAAAGGAGAAUGGAUCUUUCCCUGAUGUUCA
Symphalangus syndactylus (siamang) is the source of this 2777-nucleotide RNA transcript. It is a transcript of the gene named golgin subfamily A member 2-like, with no coding region annotated. The record is from RefSeq and is a predicted model, not a curated record. NCBI's taxonomy places the organism in Eukaryota, Metazoa, Chordata, Mammalia, Primates, Hylobatidae.